This 443-nucleotide ribosomal RNA is filed under the name uncultured bacterium. RNAcentral describes it as "partial 16S ribosomal RNA". It matches the Rfam family "Bacterial small subunit ribosomal RNA", at positions 338 to 795 of the family's 1533-position model. The record is from RNAcentral.
CCUACGGGUGGCUGCAGUGGGGAAUAUUGGGCAAUGGGCGCAAGCCUGACCCAGCAACGCCGCGUGAAGGAAGAAGGCUUUCGGGUUGUAAACUUCUUUUCUUAGGGACGAAGAAUGUGACGGUACCUCAGGAAUAAGCCACGGCUAACUACGUGACAGAAGCCGCGGUAAUACGUAGGUGGCAAGCGUUCUCCGGAUUUAUUGGGUGUAAAGGGCGCGUAGGCGGGCAAGCAAGUCAGAUGUGAAAACUCAGGGCUCAACCCUGAGCCUGCAUUUGAAACUGUUUUUCUUGAGUGCUGGGGAGGCAAUCGGAAUUCCGGGUGUAGCGGUGAAAUGCGUAGAUAUACGGAGGAACACCAGUGGCGAAGGCGGAUUGCUGGACAGUAACUGACGCUGAGGCGCGAAAGCGUGGGGAGCAAACAGGAUUAGAUACCCUGGUAGUC